CCCUUAGACGUUCUGGGCCGCACGCGCGCUACACUGACCAGUGCAACAAGCAUCCGUCCUUGGCCGACAGGCCCGGGCAAUCUUUGAACGCUGUUCGUGAUUGGGAUAGACCUUUGCAAUUAUGGGUCUUCAACGAGGAAUUCCUAGUAAACGCAAGUCAUCAGCUUGCAUUGAUUACGUCCCUGCCCUUUGUACACACCGCCCGUCGCACCUACCGAUUGAAUGGUCCGGUGAAAUCUCGGGACGGCGGCUUGGUCGCUUGCGUCCGACUGCUGAAACUUGAUUAAACCAUAUCAUUUAGAGGAAGGUGAAGUCGUANCA
Molecule: ribosomal RNA, 321 nt
Filed under: uncultured eukaryote
Lineage: Eukaryota
Description: partial 18S ribosomal RNA
Rfam family: Eukaryotic small subunit ribosomal RNA
Source: RNAcentral